GACGAACGCUGGCGGCGUGCUUAACACAUGCAAGUCGAACGGAAAGGCCCUGCUUUUGUGGGGUGCUCGAGUGGCGAACGGGUGAGUAACACGUGAGUAACCUGCCCUUGACUUUGGGAUAACUUCAGGAAACUGGGGCUAAUACCGGAUAGGAGCUCCUGCUGCAUGGUGGGGGUUGGAAAGUUUCGGCGGUUGGUGAUGGACUCGAGGCUUAUCAGCUUGUUGGUGGGGUAGUGGCUUACCAAGGCUUUGACGGGUAGCCGGCCUGAGAGGGUGACCGGCCACAUUGGGACUGAGAUACGGCCCAGACUCCUACGGGAGGCAGCAGUGGGGAAUAUUGCACAAUGGGCGGAAGCCUGAUGCAGCAACGCCGCGUGCGGGAUGACGGCCUUCGGGUUGUAAACCGCUUUCGCCUGUGACGAAGCGUGAGUGACGGUAAUGGGUAAAGAAGCACCGGCUAACUACGUG
Molecule: ribosomal RNA, 468 nt
Filed under: uncultured bacterium
Lineage: Bacteria
Description: partial 16S ribosomal RNA
Rfam family: Bacterial small subunit ribosomal RNA
Source: RNAcentral